RNAcentral lists this ribosomal RNA (252 nucleotides) under uncultured bacterium. Its description in RNAcentral is "partial 16S ribosomal RNA". It matches the Rfam family "Bacterial small subunit ribosomal RNA", at positions 524 to 776 of the family's 1533-position model. The record is from RNAcentral.
UACGGAGGAUGCGAGCGUUAUCCGGAUUUAUUGGGUUUAAAGGGUGCGUAGGCGGAUCGUUAAGUCAGUGGUCAAAUUGAGGGGCUCAACCCCUUCCCGCCAUUGAAACUGGCGAUCUUGAGUGGAAGAGAAGUAUGCGGAAUGCGCGGUGUGGCGGUGAAAUGCAUAGAUAUCACGCAGAACCCCGAUUGCGAAGGCAGCAUGCCGGCUUCCUACUGACGCUGAAGCACGAAAGCGUGGGGAUCGAACAGG